RNAcentral lists this ribosomal RNA (534 nucleotides) under Alpheus christofferseni. RNAcentral's name for it is "partial large subunit ribosomal RNA". It matches the Rfam family "Bacterial large subunit ribosomal RNA", at positions 1831 to 2625 of the family's 2925-position model. The record is from RNAcentral. Lineage: Eukaryota; Metazoa; Arthropoda; Malacostraca; Decapoda; Alpheidae.
GUCCUUACGUAGGAAUGUAAGGUCUGGCCUGCCCACUGAAGGGAUUUGAAGGGCCGCGGUAUACUAACCGUGCGAAGGUAGCAUAGUCAAUAGUCUCUUAAUUGGAGGCUUGAAUGAACGGUCGGACAUAAAGGAAUCUGUCUAACAACUAGAAAGCGUGAAUUUAACUUUUGUGUGAAAAGGCAUUAAUACGUUAGUGGGACGAUAAGACCCUAUAAAACUUUACGUAUUGUUUAAGCUUCGCGACUUAGGGGUAAUGAGAAGUUUAGUAAAUACGUUGUGCUGGGGCGGCAGGAAUAUAAUUGUAACUGUUCUUUAUACGAAAUAAUUGUUGUUAGAGAUUGACCCUAAAUUUUGGGUUAUAAGUGUAAGUUACUUUAGGGAUAACAGCGUUAUUUCUCUUGAGAGUUCAUAUCGACAGGGAUAUUUGCGACCUCGAUGUUGAAUUAAAGUUUUUUCCGGGAGUAGAAGUUCGGGUAAUAGGUCUGUUCGACCUUUAAAAUUUUACAUGAUUUGAGUUCAAACCGGUGUGAG